This 465-nucleotide ribosomal RNA is filed under the name uncultured bacterium. RNAcentral's name for it is "bacterial SSU rRNA". It matches the Rfam family "Bacterial small subunit ribosomal RNA", at positions 917 to 1382 of the family's 1533-position model. The record is from RNAcentral.
GGGCCCGCACAAGCGGUGGAGCAUGUGGUUUAAUUCGACGCAACGCGAAGAACCUUACCUGGGUUUGACAUGUGCAGGACCGGUGAUGAAAGUCACCUUCCCUUCGGGGCCUGUGCACAGGUGCUGCAUGGCUGUCGUCAGCUCGUGUCGUGAGAUGUUGGGUUAAGUCCCGCAACGAGCGCAACCCUCGCCCUCUGUUGCUACCGGGUCAUGCCGGGCACUCUGAGGGGACUGCCCCGGUGAACGGGGAGGAAGGUGGGGAUGACGUCAAGUCCUCAUGGCCUUUAUGUCCAGGGCUACACACGUGCUACAAUGGUCAGGACAAUGGGUCGCUCCCUCGCAAGAGGUUGCCAAUCUCAAAAACCUGGCCCUAGUUCGGAUGGUCGGCUGCAACUCGCCGGCCUGAAGCUGGAAUCGCUAGUAAUCGGAGAUCAGCACGCUCCGGUGAAUACGUUCCCGGGCCUU